This 478-nucleotide ribosomal RNA is filed under the name uncultured bacterium. RNAcentral describes it as "partial 16S ribosomal RNA". It matches the Rfam family "Bacterial small subunit ribosomal RNA", at positions 28 to 523 of the family's 1533-position model. The record is from RNAcentral.
GACGAACGCUGGCGGCGUGCUUAACACGUGCAAGUCGAACGGUAAGGCCCUUCGGGGUACACGAGUGGCGAACGGGUGAGUAACACGUGGGUGAUCUGCCUUGCACUUCGGGAUAAGCCUGGGAAACUGGGUCUCAUACCGGAUAGGACUCCGGACUGCAUGGUCUGGGGUGGUAAGCUUUUGCGGUGUGGGAUGGGCCCGCGGCCUAUCAGCUUGUUGGUGGGGUGAUGGCCUACCAAGGCAACGACGGGUAGCCGGCCUGAGGGGGUGACCGGCCACACUGGGACUGGGAUACGGCCCAGACUCCUACGGGAGGCAGCAGUGUGGAAUAUUGCACAAUGGGCGCAAGCCUGAUGCAGCGACGCCGCGUGAGGGAUGACGGCCUUCGGGUUGUAAACCUCUUUCAGCAUCGACGAAGCGAAAGUGACGGUAGGUGCAGAAGAAGGACCGGCCAACUACGUGCCAGCCGCCGCCGUAA